GGGGGCGUCACGGCUUCGACGCGUUUGGUGAAUAUGGAGUAGCGUGCCGAGGUUCCCGGGUCCUCGUAAAACCCCUUGGAAAACUUUAAUUGCCAACAAUGAACUGGCGAUGGCUGCGUAACUUCGGUUCGCAGCUCGUUUCCUGAUCUGCCUGCCCGAGGCGGGUCUCCGAAACGUCGAUGAGUCGGGCUGGUCUCUGGUCGGUGCUGCUCCGAUCAGAAAUGAGAUUUUCAGGUA
Molecule: transfer-messenger RNA, 237 nt
Filed under: Gemmatimonadota bacterium
Lineage: Bacteria; Pseudomonadati; Gemmatimonadota
Description: Gemmatimonadetes bacterium (marine metagenome) partial transfer-messenger RNA
Rfam family: transfer-messenger RNA
About the family: Bacterial tmRNA, also known as 10Sa RNA or SsrA, is named for its dual tRNA and mRNA-like properties.
Source: RNAcentral